RNAcentral lists this small RNA (4159 nucleotides) under Pan troglodytes (chimpanzee). RNAcentral's name for it is "processed transcript". The record is from RNAcentral. Lineage: Eukaryota; Metazoa; Chordata; Mammalia; Primates; Hominidae.
UUCCAGACAUGUCCUUCCAACCCAGUGUUCCCGUCCUUUUUCAGCUACGCUUCUUGUUCCCUGUCUCAUCUCCUUUUUUCCCAUCACUCCCCAAGUCCCUGUGGUCUGGCUGACACUGUUCUGGUCACAUUCUACUGGCUAAAUCCAACAGAGUUUUUUCAGUCUUUAUUUUGUUUGACACGUAACCUAGCUGGCUCUUCAUCCCUUCCCAAAACUUCCCUUUUGACUUCUGUGUCCUUUAAUCUUUGUGUUUUCCUCUGAUCUCUCUGACCGUUCCUUUUUAGCCUUUUUAGCUGGUUCCUCUUCCCUGCCUAUUCAUCAGUGUUGUUCCCUGACGUCUCAUUCUUGAUGCUCUUCUCACACUGCUAAGAUUUAUCUGGUCUAAAAGCUUUAGCUAUUACCUAUAAAGCUUCUGCAUCUUUUUCAUCUCCAGCACCAUCAUCUCCUAAAGUCCAGACAUACAGUAAACUAGAAGCAGUUCUAAAAUUCCACUUUAUCUUUGCCCCCUUGCCUGAUGUCAUUUGUCCUUUCCAGAUCUGCCCCCCCUUUCCUCAUUCAGAGGCCUGUGAUGUCUGGAGUUCCUCCUUUUCCUCACAUCUAGCCACUCACCAGGGCUUGUCAGUCCCACUUUCAAAAUACCUCUUGGUUCCAUCUUUCCUGCCCUGGCUCUGGCCCUCACCAUGUUUUGCCUCAGUUGCUGCAAUGGUUUCUUAACCUGUCUUCUCACUGCUAGCCACUCCCCAUCCCACACUUACCCCCACCCCCACAUCACUCCAUCUUUUACACUGAAGCCAGAGUGAUAGCUGUAAAGCAUGGGUCUGAUCAUGUCUCUUACCUGGAUCGAAAUCCUUCAGCUGCCCCCUGUUGCUCUCAGAAUAAAUGGCCAACCCUUAGCCUGACACUGAAGCCUUUCGUGAUCUGUCUCCUGCCUGCCUCUCCAACCCUGCCUCUUGCCAUUCCUCUGAUUGCAUCCUCUGCCCAGCCAGUGAGUGGAGGGGUCCUGGUCACAGCACUGUCAGGCAUCCCUGUCUCUGUUUGGGUUGCACCCUCUUCCAGGACUGCCUUCCCACCAUUUGUUGACUGUUUCUUCAUUGCUCAGUGUGUCAGUCCGUUUGCAUUGCUAUAAAGGAAUUCCUGAGACUGGGUAAUUUAUAAAGAAAAUAGGUUUAUUUUGGCUUACGGUUCUGCAGGCUGUACGGGAAGCAUGGUGCCAAUAUCUGCUUCUGGUGAGGGCUUCAGGAAGCUUAGAAUCAUGGUGGAAGGCAAAGGGGAGCCAGCGUGUUACAUGGCAAGAGAGGGAGAGAGAGAAAGAGGAGGAGAUAGCAGGCUCCUUUUAAACAGCCAGCUCUCAUGUGAACUAACAGCAAGAACUCACUCAUUACCAUGGGGAGGGCACCAAGGCCAUUCAUGAGGAAUUUGCCCCCAUAACUCAAUCACAUCCCGUUAGACCCUACCUCCAGCAUUGGAAAUCACAUUUCAACAUGAGAUUUGGAGGGGACAAAUAUCCAAACUACAUCCCUCAGUAACUCAACUCAGGCACCAGCCUCCACACAGCCUUUCCUGCCACCACAGGCCGUAAAGUACCCAUCCUAGCUCUUCCUUUGCCCCCAUAAGAGUAAAAAUACAAUAUUUAACUCUUUUUCCUAUUUUUUGUGUUUAACAGACAUUUAUGGAGGAGAUGACUCGCAAACAGCCUGACGUGGACCGGGUCACCAAGACAUACAAAAGGAAAAACAUAGAGCCUACUCACGCGCCUUUCAUAGAGAAAUCCCGCAGCGGAGGCAGUAUGUUUCCAGCCCCCUGUGUUAGGAUGCUUCAUUCCUGCUAAUUGAGGAUGAGCACUUUCCAAAUGCCUGUCAAAAAAAAUUAUAUUCCAUUUUCAAAAACCGUGUUGGUUUUGAACCAAAAUCUCUCAUUUUUGAAACUCACUUUUCUUACAUUGACAGACAGUAGCUGUACUCCAUAUUCUUUGGUAUGAUUGGUAUGAAAUUACGAGGUGGUUAAGCUUAUUUUUUAACAGUGGCCUUUCCAUUGUUUUGGUUAUCAGCCCUAGCUGUUUACAUUUGGCUUGCACUAAUUUAAUCAACACAACAGCUCCUACAGAAUAUGUUGCUUUUUUAGUUGAGUUAACGUGUCAUCAGCUCACUAGGUUUGGACAGAAUUGCUUGGAGAUAUGUAGGCAGCAGGUAAGUAUGUGCUGGGAGGAUCAGUACUUUUGGAAUUAGUACACCUCCGUAUCUAAAUAUUGCCAAGUCCCGUAUUUCUUUUCUCAGUUAUUGACUGGAUAUUAUUAUAAAGAUCUUCUAGGUUUAUACAUACAGCUGUUUCUCUUUGUAUACUAACCAGCUGUUCUAAUCUCGUGAUUAUUUUUCCUUUUAGGGAAAUCCCUAAGUCAGCCAACCCCUCCUCCCAUGCCAAUCCUUUCACAGUCUGAAGCAAAAAACCCACGGAUCAACCAGCUUUCUGCCCGCUGGCAGCAGGUGUGGCUGUUAGCACUGGAGCGGCAAAGGAAACUGAAUGAUGCCUUGGAUCGGCUGGAGGAGUUGAAAGAAUUUGCCAACUUUGACUUUGAUGUCUGGAGGAAAAAGUAUAUGCGUUGGAUGAAUCACAAAAAGUCUCGAGUGAUGGAUUUCUUCCGGCGCAUUGAUAAGGACCAGGAUGGGAAGAUAACACGUCAGGAGUUUAUCGAUGGCAUUUUAGCAUCCAAGUUCCCCACCACCAAGUUAGAGAUGACUGCUGUGGCUGACAUUUUCGACCGAGAUGGGGAUGGUUACAUUGAUUAUUAUGAAUUUGUGGCUGCUCUUCAUCCCAACAAGGAUGCGUAUCGACCAACAACCGAUGCAGAUAAAAUCGAAGAUGAGGUUACAAGACAAGUGGCUCAGUGCAAAUGUGCAAAAAGGUUUCAGGUGGAGCAGAUCGGAGAGAAUAAAUACCGGGUAAGGAAGAGAAAAAGCAGUCCUUUGUUAUGGUGGUUUCUCAUAUGUGGCUGAUCCCACCUUUUCCUCCUGAUGCUUAGAGGCCCAGAGCCCAUCGGACUUGAGAUGUGGUCACUCUCUGACCUCAUCUCUAUAGAUGCCAAGAGUCAGGUACCCUGUUACAUCUGAAAACUAGUCCCAUAUCUACCUAGAUAGUAGUAGUUUGUAUUUAAGUUUUAAGAUAGGAGAUAUUUCAGAGCUGUCACUUCACAUCUGACAAAGUUCCUAGGGGGAUGAAGGUACCUUUGGAAACAAUUAUAUCUAUUGACUGACCACUUGCCCACAAAGAGAUGGUCAUUGUGAGCCUGAGUGGCUCCCAGGCUAGAGAGGCCUGGGGAAACUGUGUUGAAGCCCCAACAGACACUGUGCCUGCUCUGAGCUGGGCUACAAAUGGGGCCCAGGAGCACUGAGGAGACAUCAGGCUCAGUGGUCUUCCCUGGAAAGCCAUGCUAGGUGUGGCCAUAACUGACAGUGAACUAUACUUGUGUUUUAGCUUCUUUUGGGACCAGGGUCAGGGACAUAGAAGGAUCUGAAACAGGUCUCCUAAAAUAUAUCAACAGCUCAUCAAGAUUCUCUAAAGUCCUAAGAAAAAUCUAUGAUUGGCAAAGAGGAUUUAGAUUGCACUAAGAAACACAGGAAGGUCCAUGUUUCAUUAGUAUAUCCAAAAUGUCCUCAAAGUACACCAAAUCUACCCCAUGCUGCGGUCUCCUGAGGAGUGCUGGGUGAAUCUGCUUUGAAUAUAACCUAGGGCAUUUAGUUAAUAAAGCUCUGUAUAAUCUUAUGCCUGCUUGUUGGGUUUUGUUUUCUUGUUUUUUGUUUUUAAUUAUCUAUGAGAGAAAUGAAUUAACAAGAACAACAUAGCAUGGAGAGUUAGUUCAUAGUUUAUAAAACCACAUCCCUGGCCGGGCCUGGUGGCUCACACCUGUAAUCCCAGAAUUUUGGAAGGUAGAGAGGCGAGCGAGCGGAUCACUUGAGGUCAGGAAUUCGAGACCAACCUGGCCAACAUGGUGAAACACCCUCUCUACUAAUAACACAAAAAUUAGCUGGGCUUGGUAGCGCAUGCCUGUAAUCCCAACUACUAGGGAGGCUGAGGCAGGAGAAUUGCUUGAACGCCGGGCUCGGAGGUUGCAGUGAGCCAUGAUCGCGCCACUGCACUCCAGCCUGGGCAACAGAGCGAGACUCUC